Molecule: long non-coding RNA, 400 nt
Organism: Ostrea edulis (European flat oyster)
Lineage: Eukaryota; Metazoa; Mollusca; Bivalvia; Ostreida; Ostreidae
Exons: 2
Source: RefSeq, a predicted model, not a curated record
GACACUGUUCAAGAACAGUCCCAUAUCUACCAGUCUUUUGAGAAUGUAUACUUGAACAUGGAAAAAGAGGGAGACAGACAGACUGAGAGAAGCAGACAGACAGACAGACAGACAGAGAUAAACUUUCCCAAUUUCUUCACGAGGGAUAUAGAUACUGGGCAUUAACAAUUUGAGGGAUGAGGUCUGUAUGAAUGGCAUGGAGCAUGCAACCUGGAAUUAACCCAUUUGAGAGUUCUUGCAAAAUCAUCCGAGACAUGUGGAUUAAGCUUCGAUCUGUCUUUUUAGAAUUAACUUUGUAAUCCUCCUGUCCAAAACAGCAGUACAUUGACUGAAUUUUCAGCCAGUCUAAUUUGUUAUACUUUGUUGUUACUUGUGAAAUAAAUUCAGUACAUGCGUGUUU